CGGCUAACUACGUGCCAGCAGCCGCGGUAAUACGUAGGUCCCGAGCGUUAUCCGGAAUUAUUAGGGCGUAAAGGGCACGUAGGCGGACAAAUAAGUUUGAUGUCAAAUAUGAUGGCUCAACCAUCAAGAGGCGUUGAAAACUGUUUAUCUAGAAUCUCGGAGAGGUAAGUGGAAUUCCAUGUGUAGCGGUGGAAUGCGUAGAUAUAUGGAGGAACACCAAUGGCGAAGGCAGCUUACUGGACGAAGAUUGACGCUGAGGUGCGAAAGCGUGGGGUAGCAAACAGGAUUAGAUACCCCUGGUAG
RNAcentral lists this ribosomal RNA (303 nucleotides) under uncultured bacterium. Its description in RNAcentral is "bacterial SSU rRNA". It matches the Rfam family "Bacterial small subunit ribosomal RNA", at positions 494 to 793 of the family's 1533-position model. The record is from RNAcentral.